UGGGCAGAGACACCCUUCACUCCACCAGGCUGCUCAGAGCCCCAUCCAAAAUGGCCUUGGACAUUCUCAAGGAUGGGGCAUUCACAAUUUCUCUGGGCAACCUGUUUCAGUGUUUCACCCCCACAGUAUAGAAUUUUUUCUUGAUAUCUCAUCUAAACCUACUCUUUUUCAGGUCGAAGCCAUUCUCCCUUGUCUGCCACUACACGCUCUUGUAAAAAAUCCCUCUGCAUCUUUUUUGCAGGCUCCCUUAAGGUACUGGAAGGCCUCAAUUAAGUCACGCUGAAGCCUUCUCUUUUACAGGCUGAACAAUCCCAACUCUCUCAGCUUCUCCUCCCAGGAAAGGUGCUCUAUCUCCCUAAUUAACUUGGUGGCCCUUGUGCUGGGGACUUCAUCUAGCAGUCCCAGGCAGGGUAAAAGCACACUGCGGGCUGUGCUCAGUGAGAAUAAAAAAAGGGAUUAUGGCAGAGGAGACUCUAAGAAGGGAUUUAAAAGGAGAAAAUAAGGUUAAGUGUGUUGAUGUCUGUCCACAGCUCAUCCUUAACUUCAGUGUAGCAGUGAAUAAAGCUUGCAGAUGCUGUUUUGAGUACCCAGCAGAUGAUGGUCUCAACAGCAGUGCAGCCUUUUAUCCAGCUGACCAUGAGAUGGACUGGUGUUUGCCAUCCUCUUAGCACACCUCUGAAAACACCUGUUUGUUUGGUAAGGCUGCGUUUUACCAAAGAUAUGAUCUCAUUAGGUAAAUUAUUGCCACAUUAGGUAAAUUACUGAAACACUAAGGUAAAAAAUAGAAAACAGCAGCAGACAUCAUCUUCCCAUACAAGGCCUUUUUAACAGUGAUUUACAGAUGAACCACCUUUCAUCAAAGGUUCCAGCAGAGCAUCAGAAGAAAACAAUUUUAGGAACACAACAAUAUCACAAAGUUCAGAAAAUCCUUUCUGCUGUGCUGCACUGUAUUCAUGCAAACCUUAACAACAAAAGAUCUGUUUAAAAUGUGGACUAUCUUUGAUUGUUUUGCUUAGUGAUCUUCACUGUGUCCCUUAAAAACUAGUAAUCAGCACUGGAAGAAAAGCCAGGAGGUAACAUACCAGCUAGCUAUGCAUCACUGUCACAAAUCACCAGGGAUUUGAAAAGCACACCAACUGGGGUCCCAGCAUCCUGCUAACACCAACACUGUGUCAGGUCCAGCCCAGUCUUUCACCCAUUGUGAGGGAUUCCACCAAGCAGAGCCUGGCUCAGGGAGGCCAGCGAUGCUUUCCAGGCUCUUGACAGGCACAGGGAGGACAUUCCUGCUGCCUCCAAGGGAGAUGCUGUGCUCACAUGGACACACAGCUGCUCAGAGAGGAACUCUGUGUGUGUGUGUCAGCCUGAAACUGAACUCCAACCCACAACUGGGCUCUUACACUCGGACUACAGCAUCCUGUAAGGUUUUUAUAAGAUAACUCACUACACAAUAAAAUAAGCCUGCAAAGUGUGCUAAAGAACCAUGUCCUAAGAGCAGCCACCUUCCUGCACUGACUAGAGCUGGACCUUGGGCAAACAGCUCUGGUGCACACAUCCUCUGCCUGAGUGUCCUGAAGAGCACUCCAGGUUGGCCAAGCAGAAAGUGUGUGUAUUCAUGUUUUAGUGCCUUAUCUGGGGUGGGUACUCCUCUGCUGUCAAAAGCCAAGAGUUAUGUUCCUGACAACAGAGAGGACAGGACUAAAUCAAGAAAAGAGUUCAGAAAGGCAGAGAAAUUCAGAUGAGUUUUUGAUGAACAAACCUCAUUAACUGACUGGCUAUCAGCUAUCCAAAUAGAUUAAAAUAAUUAUCAUUAUAGCUGUAGUUUACCAUUCUGGAAAAGUGACAUUUAAAAGUCACUACACAACACUGUUACCUGUAAUGCUAUGCUGUAAAUUUGUUGUUGAAAAUCUACUUGUAAAUACACAGCAACUCUUGAAACUUAUUGGCAGCAUUCAAAAGUACUGGUAAGAGCAAAUAAAAAUGCAUCCAUUUGGGGGAAAUUAGGUAUUCUUAUGACUUCAUGUUCUCAUCAGGUAGCAGGCAUUAAAAAUAUGCCCAUUGCAAUGUGUACAAUAGCCAACAAAAAUGCUGGGUUUGCUACACUUUCUUCAGAUUGAGUCAACUGAAAUUAGGUUUUCAAAUCCAUGAAAGACAAGCAGAGUCAAACAGUCAAACAUGAUGCUUUCCCAAUGCCAUCAUAUGUCAGAAUACUACAUGUGAAAGUUCAUACAUUUGAUUUCCUAGAAGAUACCACUUUUCCCUUCUUGUCAAAACCUUACCAUUUCCCGGGGAAAAAAUACAAAUGUGUGCAUGUUUCAGACAGCCUUACUUGUUAUGGAUGGACUCAGAUUAUGCUGUCCCAGUUGAGUGAUUUAAAAUUGGAUUUAUUGUGAUUCUUCAUGAUUGAAGAGGUCAAAACCUUCCCAAGGGAAAACAACUGUAAGACGUUCUGCAGAGCAGUUUAAGGAGUACAUGUGAACUUCUUAGCUUCACAAGGUUAAUGUGUGUCUUGGUUUCACUGAAAGUAACUCAACCUUCUUAUUAACCACAAGAAACACAGUAAUUUUCACGUCUAUAGAGUAGAAAUGAAUUAUUUUCCUACAUUUUCCCUCUCUCCUCAAAAUAUGCAAAGCAAAUGUUGAAAUUCCCAAUUCAAUAUAUAUCAAAGAAGAAAAAGGUUCAAAGCCAAAUCCUAGAAAGUCAAAAAAUGCCAGAACAAAUUUAGUUCAACUCCCUUGUGCUUAUACAUCAAGAUGAAAUAUUUAAUUACAUGAUGACAUCCUAUUUUUUGACUGCAUUAUCUGUGCUUUAAAGAACAAGAAACAAAUUCCAUAGUGGCCUGAUUGGACCAGAUGUUUAGAUGUUCCUUGCAUUUCAAAUAUAAUAAUUCAGUAGUUAUUUAUCUUAUUGAGAGAGGUAUAAGGUCAGAUUAAAAGUUUCCUAAGAUUAUCUGAUACUUUGAUUUUCUUUCUGUAGAAAAAACAUUAUUGGAAAUAUAUCUUCCACCAGCAAAUCCUGCUUGAUAGUAUGCUGUGAUCUAGUUUUGAAUGAACAAAACCAGAACAAAUCUAAUUUGCCUGAUUUUUUUUUUUCAAACAGGUCUAUCACAAUGACUAACUCAUCAAAAUAUUUCAAAUUGCAUUCUAAAAAUACCAGCUAUUUAUUAUUUUACUCUGCUGUACAGACAUCAGUCUAACACUCAAUCAGAGUAAGUGGUGAUGAAUCAUGCACAUUUUAGGAAUGUCUUGGCUCUCUGAACAGCGUUUGGGUUCUAAAUCUUUAUUGAUAGAAAUAUCUUACUUCCAACAGAAAUUUACAUACAAAUGUGCAAAUCAGGGCUGGAGCAGCAAGCCUGUGUUAUGGCUAAGAGGUGGCUGGGCUUGGCUAGCUGCCUUCAGUGCCUACUUCCACCUUGGCUCGGAUAAUUGGAAUAAAGAUGAAUGAAAAUUUAGGCCUGCAGUUUUAAUAGUAACUAUUUGUUAUUUAAAUUUCCUGUUCCACACUAAAUGAUUGCAAGAAUGUGUGCUCAGAAUUAAAAGGCUGCUCUUUAGCAUCAGCACAUUGAUUUCUUGGGGUCCUUGCAAAGCUUUUCACAUUGUUCCUGGCCUACAGCUUUACACCCCUCUAACUGCCUGUCAGACAUCAUUUCUGCUUUAUGAAUAAAUAAUAUGAUGCCCAGGGGAAAUGUUGGGCUAAGACAAAAAAAUCAAUAUGUGUCUAGCACGUAUUAGGCAGUUGUUCAGCUGAAGUCUGUCUCAAAUAUGCGGAGUAAUUUUAAUAACAAAACAAAUUCUUUCUACACCGAGCUUAAAAUAAGGCUAUUAAGAAAGCACUACUACUAUAUCACUCUGUAUCCUAUUUGAAGAUUAAUAAUACUGUUCUCCUAAAAUGUGAAUAAAUGUUCUGAUUGCAACAGAA
This is a long non-coding RNA of Passer domesticus (house sparrow), 3915 nucleotides long. RefSeq lists it as uncharacterized. The transcript has 3 exons. The record is from RefSeq and is a predicted model, not a curated record. NCBI's taxonomy places the organism in Eukaryota, Metazoa, Chordata, Aves, Passeriformes, Passeridae.